CAAUAGCGUAUAUUUAAGUUGCUGCAGUUAAAAAGCUCGUAGUUGGAUUUCGGGUGGGAAUGGCCGGUCCGCCGUUUCGGUGUGCACUUGCUACGCCCACCUUGCUGCCGGGGACGUGCUCUUGAGUUCACGCUCGGGACACGGAGUCGGCGAGGUUACUUUGAGUAAAUUAGAGUGUUCAAAGCAGGCCUACGCUCUGAAUACAUUAGCAUGGAAUAACACGAUAGGACUCUGGCCUAUCUUGUUGGUCUGUAGGACCGGAGUAAUGAUUAAGAGGGACAGUCGGGGGCAUUCGUAUUUCAUUGUCAGAGGUGAUAUUCUUGGAUUUAUGAAAGACGAACUACUGCGAAAGCAUUUGCCAAGGAUGUUUUCAUUAA
Molecule: ribosomal RNA, 377 nt
Filed under: uncultured eukaryote
Lineage: Eukaryota
Description: partial 18S ribosomal RNA
Rfam family: Eukaryotic small subunit ribosomal RNA
Source: RNAcentral